CGAGACUCGAGGCGAGGGCGGGUGUGUGGUAGCGGCGGCCUCGCGGCUUGGCUGUUACGAGGCCGGCGGCGUGGCUGGAAAGCUGUGACUUCGUUUUUUCACCCCCCUUGAAGCCUGGCCGGGCUUAUUCAGUGCAGGCUGUCUGCGCCGUCCCAGGCCCGCGGCAACUCCUCGCCUUCGUUCGUGCUCUUCGCCGAGCGGCAAAGCGGGAGUGGUGUCCCCGUUAACCUGGCGUGCUGAGGGGUUAACGGACUGCGUCAGCCUAACAGCUUGGACUGCACAAGGUGAACGGGUCUCAGAAGGAGGGCCUGGUUUUCUCCCAUUUGGAGAAUUAGCUGCCGAAAGAUUUUUCCUGGUAUUUCAAGAUAAGUUUUGUUAUCGUGGCAUAUAUCAGGGAAAGAACAGCACACAAGUGAGAAAGCAGACCUAGA
Long non-coding RNA from Apteryx owenii (little spotted kiwi), 431 nucleotides. The record is from Ensembl. Lineage: Eukaryota; Metazoa; Chordata; Aves; Apterygiformes; Apterygidae.